Molecule: ribosomal RNA, 400 nt
Filed under: uncultured Burkholderia sp.
Lineage: Bacteria; Pseudomonadati; Pseudomonadota; Betaproteobacteria; Burkholderiales; Burkholderiaceae
Description: bacterial SSU rRNA
Rfam family: Bacterial small subunit ribosomal RNA
Source: RNAcentral
CUACCCUUGACAUGUCCGGAAGCCCGCUGAGAGGUGGGUGUGCCCGAAAGGGAAUCGGAACACAGGUGCUGCAUGGCUGUCGUCAGCUCGUGUCGUGAGAUGUUGGGUUAAGUCCCGCAACGAGCGCAACCCUUGUCCCUAGUUGCUACGCAAGGGCACUCUAGGGAGACUGCCGGUGACAAACCGGAGGAAGGUGGGGGGAUGACGUCAAGUCCUCAUGGCCCUUAUGGGUAGGGCUUCACACGUCAUACAAUGGCCGGUACAGAGGGUUGCCAACCCGCGAGGGGGAGCCAAUCCCAGAAAGCCGGUCGUAGUCCCGGAUUGCAGUCUGCAACUCGACUGCAUGAAGUCGGAAUCGCUAGUAAUCGCGGAUCAGCAUGCCGCGGUGAAUACGUUCCCG